Molecule: long non-coding RNA, 212 nt
Organism: Dendroctonus ponderosae (mountain pine beetle)
Lineage: Eukaryota; Metazoa; Arthropoda; Insecta; Coleoptera; Curculionidae
Exons: 2
Source: RefSeq, a predicted model, not a curated record
CCUAUGUAAGUGCGGCUCAUUUGUUUAAAUCACUGUGGAAUUAUUUAGGACACCAAUGACAACCGUUUGUAGUAUGGACUUGGAAAGCUUAUUUUUAAUUGAAGAGAAUAUUUUAAAAAUCUCGAUAAUUUACUUAUAUUGACUGGACAGUACUUUAAACUCCCCCAAUCUGUUGGAUAGCUUAAAUAUACGCAAUAGAUGUGUAGUAUGAG